This 253-nucleotide ribosomal RNA is filed under the name uncultured bacterium. RNAcentral describes it as "partial 16S ribosomal RNA". It matches the Rfam family "Bacterial small subunit ribosomal RNA", at positions 524 to 776 of the family's 1533-position model. The record is from RNAcentral.
UACGUAGGGGGCAAGCGUUGUCCGGAAUCAUUGGGCGUAAAGCGCGCGUAGGCGGCCCGGUAAGUCCGCUCUGAAAGCCCAGGGCUCAACCCUGGAAAGCGGGUGGAUACUGCCGGGCUAGAAUCCGGAAGAGGCGAGUGGAAUUCCUGGUGUAGCGGUGGAAUGCGCAGAUAUCAGGAGGAACACCAAUAGCGAAGGCAGCUCGCUGGGACGGUAUUGACGCUAAGGCGCGAAAGCGUGGGGAGCAAACAGG